UUUUAUGUCAAUUCUAAUUAGCUUACAAUUUGAUUUUCAUGUCAUGAAUAUUUCUACUUUUAUGAAUUUUAUCGCUUUUUUUUUUUUUUGGUUUGAUUUUAUCGCAUUUUAUUAAUAAACUAAAAUUUUAGUAAAAUAUUAAUGACUUUUAAUCGUCAUCAAAAUUUUAAGAGAGAUAUUUAUUAAAGUUAAGUAAUCAAUUGAGUGAGCUUUUAGAGAUAAUUAAUGUGACGUUGUUAUGAGUUUGUUCAUGUUAUGAGACAUUUAUAAUAAUGUUGAUUAUAUGAAUGGUCACUUGCAACUACUUAAGGGCUAAAACCAAUUUAAUUAAAAUUAAUAAAGCAUGAGGUGUUUUACUUAUAAAUUGAUUUAAUAGUUGUUUUUUACAUGCAAAUUAAUGAGACAUAAUAUGGGUGAAAUUCAAAAAAAUAUUGUUUAUGCUUUAAUGAUCUUUCUAACCCUAAUUAUGGUUCAUGAACUUGGCCAACAUAGUUUACUCCCUUGCAAAAAUAAUACGGAUUGUGCAAAUGAUAGAUGUCUCAAUUAUAAAACUCCGAUAUGUGUUAGCAAAAAAUGUUAUUGCUUGUAAGUGUAAGUGUGUAACAAAUUAAGUUAAAAAUAAUUCUAAGUUACUUUCUUAUUAGCUUCUCAUAAUAAAUAAAAAAAUUACAAUUUGAUUUGUAUGUAUAAGGUUUCUAUUAUUAUGAAUUUUUUUACCCUUUGAUUCA
This is a long non-coding RNA of Trifolium pratense (red clover), 728 nucleotides long. RefSeq lists it as uncharacterized. Lineage: Eukaryota; Viridiplantae; Streptophyta; Magnoliopsida; Fabales; Fabaceae. The transcript is spliced from 2 exons. The record is from RefSeq and is a predicted model, not a curated record.